UUAAAUUGAAGAGUUUGAUCAUGGCUCAGAUUGAACGCUGGCGGCAGGCCUAACACAUGCAAGUCGAACGGUAACAGGAAGCAGCUUGCUGCUUCGCUGACGAGUGGCGGACGGGUGAGUAAUGUCUGGGAAACUGCCUGUUGGCGGGGGAUAACUACUGGAAACGGUGGCUA
Molecule: ribosomal RNA, 173 nt
Filed under: Salmonella enterica subsp. enterica
Lineage: Bacteria; Pseudomonadati; Pseudomonadota; Gammaproteobacteria; Enterobacterales; Enterobacteriaceae
Description: partial 16S ribosomal RNA
Rfam family: Bacterial small subunit ribosomal RNA
Source: RNAcentral